AUGCUAUGCUGACAGUUACCGGAUUUGGCACUGCAACACUAUAAGUAGAGAGAACCUCCUUGUUCCAUCCAAACGCCACUUCCUUCUGCCUUAGAGUGCCUUCCCUUUCGCAGAGAUAUCAGAGGAAACUGCUGCCAUGAGGUUCCUCUACCUGAGCUUAACUCUGGUCUCCAUCCUCUUCCACGUUGUUGCAGGGCAACGUUUAUGUGAAUUAUUUGGAGGAUCUUGCCAAUUCCCAGCAACUACAAACUGUACCUAUGAAGAAAUCACAGGGGCCUCCUGUGGCGACAAUGGAAUCUGCUGUAGUAACAAACAUCCGGACUAUGGACCCAGCAGAAGAAUCUUGGGAA
Podarcis muralis (Common wall lizard) is the source of this 350-nucleotide non-coding RNA. Lineage: Eukaryota; Metazoa; Chordata; Lepidosauria; Squamata; Lacertidae. The record is from RefSeq and is a predicted model, not a curated record.